AAUCUAUCAUGCCCCGGGGUCCCUGUUUGGAUUUAAAACCAAUGCGGAAGUGCCCAAAUUUUUUUUUUUUUUGAAAACCUUGACCCUAGGGGAUGUCAGAUCCACCAUAAAUACAGAGAAUCCACUGUUCACACGGACAGAGUCUCCCCUGUAUUUGCACGGCGUCGUAUAAGUACAAGAUACAACCACAUACAUAUAACAUCCACAUACAUAAACCACAUCACAAUUUUCACUUUAUUCCAUCACAGAUAGAUAUAAAUUCACAUCUAUUAGUUUAAAACGUUUUCUAUCCGGAAACUCAUUUGGAAACACUAAGAAUCAUAAAAACUAAGAAAAUGCCCUUUUAAAAUUAUUUCCGACACGAAAACCUUUUUCUUUUAAAACACGCUACCACGAGGGGUAGAAAACCAUAUUCCAUCGCAUAGGAAAAACCAUAAAUCUUUUAUUACAUUCACAAAAACAUAUUUAUCCAAUUUAAGCAAACCACUGAACCAUAAAUACUAAGUUAAUUAUUUAAGAAGUCGA
Molecule: long non-coding RNA, 525 nt
Filed under: Ananas comosus (pineapple)
Lineage: Eukaryota; Viridiplantae; Streptophyta; Magnoliopsida; Poales; Bromeliaceae
Description: long non-coding RNA (ACOM_LNC044514)
Source: RNAcentral